UCAGACGAUGCGUCAUGUAUAUCAAUAAGCGGAGGAAAAGAAACUAACAAGGAUUCCCCUAGUAACGGCGAGUGAAGCGGGAAGAGCUCAAAUUUGAAAUCUUAAAGGGUUUCCCUUUACGAAUUGUAGUUUAAAGAAGUGUUUUCUGUUGAGGUUUUGGUAAAAGUUCUUUGGAAUAGGAUAUCAUAGAGGGUGAGAAUCCCGUAUUUGACCUUUACUUUCAACUUUGUGAUACACUUUCAAAGAGUCGGAUUGUUUGGGAAUGCAGUCCAAAAUGGGUGGUAAAUUUCAUCUAAAGCUAAAUAUUGGCGAGAGACCGAUAGCGAACAAGUACCGUGAGGGAAAGAUGAAAAGAACUUUGAAAAGAGAGUUAAACAGUACGUGAAAUUGUCAAAAGGGAAGCGUUUGACACCAGUGUUGUUUUUCUGAAAAUCAAUUAAAGAACUGUUUAUGCUAAGCUGUUUAGACUUUAUCAGCUAUCUGUUUAGUUUUGAGCUUUUCUUUAAUGCACUUUUCAGUUAACAAGUCAACAUCAAUUUCUUUUGCUGUAAAAAAGCUUGAGGAAGGUGGCUUGAGAUUCGUCUUAAGUGUUUAUAGCCUCUUGCCUAUGCAGUCGGAGAGAUUGAGGUCUGCAGCGUAGAUCCUUCGGGGCUAAAUGCAUUUGUGCUAAGUUAUAGCAUUUUAUAGACAACUUGUUGACUAUGAUUUGUCUUGUAGCUUACUCGCUUAUGUUAUUUUACCUACGCUUAGGAUGUUGACACACGCGCGUGCUCG
RNAcentral lists this ribosomal RNA (774 nucleotides) under uncultured Neocallimastigales. RNAcentral's name for it is "partial large subunit ribosomal RNA". It matches the Rfam family "Eukaryotic large subunit ribosomal RNA", at positions 18 to 643 of the family's 3401-position model. The record is from RNAcentral. Lineage: Eukaryota; Fungi; Neocallimastigomycota; Neocallimastigomycetes; Neocallimastigales.